UUUCCGUAGGUGAACCUGCGGAAGGAUCAUUACAGAGUUCAUGCCCUUACGGGUAGAUCUCCCACCCUUGAAAUUUAUACCUUUGUUGCUUUGGCGGGCCGCGGCCUCCGCUACCGGCUUCGGUUGGUAUGUGCCCGCCAGAGGACCCAACUCUUGUUUUUAGUGAUGUCUGAGUACUAUAUAAUAGUUAAAACUUUCAACAACGGAUCUCUUGGUUCUG
RNAcentral lists this unclassified non-coding RNA (220 nucleotides) under plant metagenome. RNAcentral describes it as "partial contains small subunit ribosomal RNA, internal transcribed spacer 1, and 5.8S ribosomal RNA". The record is from RNAcentral.